This 78-nucleotide microRNA precursor is filed under the name Schistosoma haematobium. Its description in RNAcentral is "mir-3492 microRNA precursor family". It matches the Rfam family "mir-3492 microRNA precursor family". RNAcentral also lists the same sequence under 1 other name. The record is from Rfam by way of RNAcentral. Lineage: Eukaryota; Metazoa; Platyhelminthes; Trematoda; Strigeidida; Schistosomatidae.
AGCCUUCCGUAUCCACGCUGAGAUUUUGUCACACACCAGACCACAAGGGCUGAUGAGACUUCCAAGAUAAGUGAAGCG